UAUUAAGGCUGAACCUAUCCCGAACCUGAUUCCUGUAAGAUUGACAACCCUGUCGGAUCUGACUUCUGAAAU
Oncorhynchus kisutch (coho salmon) is the source of this 72-nucleotide small nucleolar RNA. The record is from Ensembl. NCBI's taxonomy places the organism in Eukaryota, Metazoa, Chordata, Actinopteri, Salmoniformes, Salmonidae.